Sparus aurata (gilthead seabream) is the source of this 3743-nucleotide long non-coding RNA. NCBI's taxonomy places the organism in Eukaryota, Metazoa, Chordata, Actinopteri, Spariformes, Sparidae. The record is from Ensembl.
AUGAAGACUGAGAUGGAGGGUUUGGGUCUGUGGCCAGGGUCACGUCCAGUACGUCACCCCAUGAACAUGCUGUCCCUGUGGCGUCAUCCACCUCAGCCUGAGCUCAUCGACUCAAUCUCAGAGCUCCCCUCACCAAAGUACUUUCAGCUUCAUCCAUUUUUUAUAUGGAAGCCGGAGCACACGAUCAUGGAGAGGAUGAAAAAUAACUACAUCCUGCCAUGUCUUCAUGGUUGUCCCAACCCCCAGGUAGCUUCUUCAGGCGUGGGAAGGCCAAGAGUAAUUAUUGGCACCGGUGGCCAGUACUAUAUCUUGGCCUCACGUCUCACCUGCAAGGCAUGCAAGAGGUACUGGCAUGCUGACAAGCCCCAGUGGCUGGAGAAGCUACCGAAGAGGUUCACAAACAUCGUGCCAGCCUUCCUCACACACAAAAAAGCCAUCUGCAAGUCAGUGAUGGAUGAGCUGAGGCGCAGUGGCAGAUCACCGGAGGACAUGUCCAAGCAGCUGACAGAAGCACUCCAUCUGAAGUAUGAGAGAGCUCACCUGGCCUACCUGGAUAGUGUGCAGAACAUCAGGGAUGCUGAGGCAGGUGUCUACGGACAGAGCACCAUCACUGGGCUCCUCAGACAGACAGACACUCCUGCUCCGUUCGGUGGGUAUGCCGAUGCUGAUGGCUGGUGUGGAGUGUCUAUUUCUGCACACUAUCUUGUCAACUGCCUGGUCCAUGAGUACCAGAGGCAGGAGCACCUCCUCACUCUGCUGCUACAGGGGACCUUUGGACGGGCACUGAGGUCAGAUCACACCCGCAAAGUGGCAAGGAAGGUGGUUCUGUCAUCUGGCACCAUGUCCUCCUAUGCUGUCAUGAAUGAGAGCUGGAUGAUCCUGAGCUGGGUGAUGCUGCAGUCAGAGUGUGAUCGUUCCCUUCACCCUAUGUAUGAGGGUCUGGCUCACCGGUACACUUUGGCUGGAGAGGAGAAGGCGAGCUACCAGUGGGUGGACAGGGACUGCUGUGCUGCCUUCAAGGUGCUGGAUCCUGGGGCUCAGGAGCACAUCGUAUGGGACAGCUGGAAGACCACAGAGGCUCUUGUUACAGAGGCCACUUCUGGAAAGCUGGCUAACAACAGCGCAUCUAGGACAAAGUUUAACAAAGACAUUACCAUCAAGUUAGACUUGUUUCAUUGUAUGCGGCGCUUGACCAGGGAGUGUGUCUCAGAGCAUCAUCCUCUGUACAGCUCUUUCUGUCAGUUCCUCUCUGCAGCAUUCGUUGUCGUGGACCAGAGUGACCUCCAGAACCUCAAGGAUGCCUACACCUUCUGUAGAAUCCUACCUGCGAAUCCCACCAAGCAGCACAUCAGAGAGCACUGUCGGACAAAGGUGCCACAACCAAGAGAACUGCUGCAGAGGGUUGAAGAUGUCCUCUGUCACUUCCACCUGGCGAAGGACGCCAAUGAUGUGCUGCUCUUCAAGCCCUCCAUGUUGAAAGUGUGGAGAAUCCAGCGCAUCCACAUCCUGAGAGGCUGCCUGAGCGACCCUGAGGUGGAGGAGGGCAUCCUGUACAGGUAUGGUGGCACCUUGCAGCUGAACUACACCAAGGGCGAGAGAGCUGCUGUACCUGUCUGGAUCCCUGUGAGAGGCACGUCUCAGCAGGAGGGCUUCCACUAUCACCAAGCCCAGUGGGUAACAGGCAGCAGGGUGUCCAGUGAGCUCUUCCAGGCCCAGGCCAUGACUGGAGUGGUGCGCUGGAACUUCCAGAGGCUGGUGGACCUUAAGAGGCCAGAUGUGGAUCUUCCAGCUGUGUUUGACCCCCUGUUAAUCGCUCAACUGAACACAUCCUCUCUGAGAGUGACAGGGAGGGCAAAAUACCCAAUAUUGCAAGUAGCAAACAGGGACACAGGGGAGCGAUUUGGACUGGAGUAUGUGGAGCCAGGCUGUCGUCCUGUUGUCUUGAACUGGGAUAAGGACAAGACACAGCCCAACUCCUCAGCUGCUGACACCAUGGAGCUGCAGCAGCACCAUGCCCAGGAUCAACCUCAUCCCUGCCCUGCUGCUGUAGUGGGCACAGACCCUCAGGUAAUCCAGGUGAAUCACUCACUCUCAGUAACUGACUGACUGACCGAUCUACUGUUUUAAUCACUAUAUCUGAUGCUUUAUCUUAGGAGACCAGGGACACUGUCCAGGAUGAUCCGGUUGUGGCAGCACCGAUCCUGUCUUCCAGGCAGUGUGCUGAAGCAGUCCCGCAGUUCCAGCUGCCCUUCAUUCCAGCAUCUGCAACAGCCAAAGCAGAGCCUCCUCUGGAAGCAGGUAACUUAAAGUACCCACCUACACCUUCCUUAAUACAGACCUCAUAGCUAAAAGCAGGCUUUGACACUGUGGUUGGAAUUAAUAUCAUGAAAAACAUUGUAAUCUGUUGUCCAUUGACAGUAAUUAUUGAGCUAAUGAGUGCAAAACGUAAAACCUAUAAUAAACAGUAUAAUAAAUGUGUUUUUUCUGUUUGUUUUUUUCAGGCCUGACAGACGCUGCACCGCUGCCUAUGUCCUCUUCUCCUCGGGCCACCCGCACCGGACCCAUCAAGACAGGAGGUCUUAUACAGGUCCUGGACCACAGCCGGUGGACUCCACCCAUGAAAGCCACCAUCGACGGGCUCCUGAUUAAGCACCAUGGCACCAAGGAUCUUUUGAAGCGGGUGGAUGCAGAAUAUGCUGCCAUGGUACAGACAGCCUGCACUGAUCCCAACAGCCUCCUUCAUCCAACCACAUGUCAGCAUAUCUCCAGAUAUGUCAAACAUGUGGCCAAAUUAAAAAAUACAAACUCCUCUCUCAACACAAGUGUGGAGAAGGUUCAUGAAACGCAGCUGCUGUGGCAGAGUUUGACUACAGGCAGCCAGACGGUGAGUGUCCCUGUCACAACCCUGCCUCCUGCAUCUUUUAACCCUCCAUCUGUGGCUUCCCCCAAAGAGGAGUCAAUGAGUCGGGCCUCUGUGGAGAACAUUGUGAAGGAGAUCCUGGACAAACAACAGCAACAACAACAACAACAGCAGCAGAAAAAGACCAGGAACUGUUUAGCCUGUGGUCAGCCAAAAUCACGCUACCAAGGCGAUGGCUCCUCAGUUCAUUUCUUUUAUCAGACUCCAGCAGUCAAAUACUUUUACUGCUCCACCAAGGUCUUUAAGACCUAUGAGGACGAAGGCCUCCAAAACCCCAGGAUGUCUUUUGCAGACUUUGCGGCAUCUCCAUUUUUUGAGCGGGAGCUGGAGGCUGCCAGACAGAGGGGAGCGGAGUGGAAGAAGGUGGCAGAGGGGAGGGCAAAGAGGAAGUCAGCAGAGCACCUGCCAACAGGUCGUCUGUGCAGGACCUGUCACCUGCCAUUAAAGCAGGGGCCUGACAGCCCUCAUAUUCACACCUGUUUCCCCAAUGUGCCAGGGAAAUACAUCUACUGCCCUGCAAAAGUUUUCUCCCUGUACAAGGCACAGGGCAUGGUCAAGGAGAUGACCUGGGUGGAGUUUCAGCGAACAGACUUUUAUGAAGCUGAAAAGGCCAGAUGGAUUGCAGAGAAGAGGAAGUGAACCUUCUGUCCCAAAACCCACCAUCCAACCAUCACUGAUGAAGGCAGCCACACUGUACACUUGUUUUAUAUUGUAUAUAUGUUAAUAGAUACACAAGUUACUGUAUAUUCUGUAUAUUGUAUUUACUGUUCAUUUGUUUUUUAAAUGAUCUUUUUGUACAUAUUUUGUCUGUUCAUUUAUUCAU